Molecule: long non-coding RNA, 581 nt
Filed under: Marmota monax (woodchuck)
Lineage: Eukaryota; Metazoa; Chordata; Mammalia; Rodentia; Sciuridae
Source: RNAcentral
CUCACACGUAGACUCCUUCUGCUCACAUUUCUCAACACAACCUUAAAACUUCUCUAAUCCAUCCUAUACUUCUGACUGCUGGCUCUGCAUCCCUCUUACUCAUAGCUCAUUGAUAGUGAAGCCUAUCCCUGUCCAUGGACUUCCAGUCUAAUCUUUCUUUUCACCACUUUCUCAUGUAAUUCCUCAAGAUCACUUUAUUCCAAUGUCUCUUACUUUGCUUCAUCCUCCCCCAACCUUAUGUCUCUAUUCCACCAUGCUACAUAGUAUUUCCCUAUGCAACCCAACUUACAAUGUCACUCAGCCACUCCAGAGCCAACAUGGCAUCUUCUUUCUCUGCAGAAGCUCCCUUCUCCACUGCCUGAUACCCCUAUUCCCACCUUCUGCCUCCCUGUCCCCCUCACAUCCAAUAUGAUCAUAUAAUCUGAGGGGGAGGUUGAACUGGCCCUUUCCUUCCCCUUCUGGACUUCACUUCAGUGUCCCAGAUGCAGAAGAGCAAUUCUCACUCCAGUCCUCAUUGGAUCAGGCAUAUUGGCAGCAUCUGGCAUGUGGAUAGCAGGACUAGGUACAGCCAUCAUCUUUAU